RNAcentral lists this ribosomal RNA (624 nucleotides) under Naganishia adeliensis. RNAcentral describes it as "eukaryotic LSU rRNA". It matches the Rfam family "Eukaryotic large subunit ribosomal RNA", at positions 45 to 657 of the family's 3401-position model. The record is from RNAcentral. Lineage: Eukaryota; Fungi; Basidiomycota; Tremellomycetes; Filobasidiales; Filobasidiaceae.
AAUAAGCGGAGGAAAAGAAACUAACAAGGAUUCCCCUAGUAACGGCGAGUGAAGCGGGAAGAGCUCAAAUUUGAAAUCUGGUAGCCUUCGGUUGCCCGAGUUGUAAUCUAGAGAAGUGUUUUCCGUGCCGGCCCAUGUACAAGUCCCUUGGAACAGGGCGUCAUAGAGGGUGAGAAUCCCGUCCUUGACAUGGACCCCCGGUGCUUUGUGAUACACUUUCAACGAGUCGAGUUGUUUGGGAAUGCAGCUCAAAAUGGGUGGUGAAUUCCAUCUAAAGCUAAAUAUUGGCGAGAGACCGAUAGCGAACAAGUACCGUGAGGGAAAGAUGAAAAGCACUUUGGAAAGAGAGUUAAACAGUACGUGAAAUUGUUGAAAGGGAAACGAUUGAAGUCAGUCAUGCUCUUAGGAUUCAGCCGUUCUGCGGUGUAUUUCCUUUGAGUGGGGUCAACAUCAGUUUUGAUCGAUGGAUAAAGGCACGAGGAAGGUAGCACUCUCGGGUGAACUUAUAGCCUCGCGUCAUAUACAUUGAUUGGGACUGAGGAACGCAGCAUGCCUUUAUGGCCGGGAUUCGUCCACGUACAUGCUUAGGAUGUUGACAUAAUGGCUUUAAACGACCCGUCUUGA